GGAAGCGAUCAUACCAGCACUAAAGCACCGGAUCCCAUCAGAACUCCGAAGUUAAGCGUGCUUGGGCGAGAGUAGUACUAGGAUGGGUGACCUCCUGGGAAGUCCUCGUGUUGCAUUCC
Molecule: ribosomal RNA, 119 nt
Filed under: Triticum aestivum (bread wheat)
Lineage: Eukaryota; Viridiplantae; Streptophyta; Magnoliopsida; Poales; Poaceae
Also listed under: 1 other name
Source: RNAcentral